Molecule: ribosomal RNA, 468 nt
Filed under: uncultured bacterium
Lineage: Bacteria
Description: partial 16S ribosomal RNA
Rfam family: Bacterial small subunit ribosomal RNA
Source: RNAcentral
GACGAACGCUGGCGGCGUGCUUAACACAUGCAAGUCGAACGGAAAGGCCCUGCUUUUGUGGGGUGCUCGAGUGGCGAACGGGUGAGUAACACGUGAGUAACCUGCCCUUGACUUUGGGAUAACUUCAGGAAACUGGGGCUAAUACCGGAUAGGCGCUCCUGCUGCAUGGUGGGGUUUGGAAAGUUUCGGCGGUUGGGGAUGGACUCGCGGCUUAUCAGCUUGUUGGUGGGGUAGUGGCUUACCAAGGCUUUGACGGGUAGCCGGCCUGAGAGGGUGACCGGCCACAUUGGGACUGAGAUACGGCCCAGACUCCUACGGGAGGCAGCAGUGGGGAAUAUUGCACAAUGGGCGGAAGCCUGAUGCAGCAACGCCGCGUGCGGGAUGACGGCCUUCGGGUUGUAAACCGCUUUCGCCUGUGACGAAGCGUGAGUGACGGUAAUGGGUAAAGAAGCACCGGCUAACUACGUG